Cyprinus carpio carpio is the source of this 490-nucleotide long non-coding RNA. The record is from Ensembl. Lineage: Eukaryota; Metazoa; Chordata; Actinopteri; Cypriniformes; Cyprinidae.
AAAAAAAAACAAAAAAACAGGAACGUUAAACUUGCAGCCUCUCAUGUGCAACAGAGAGUUUCAACAUUUUGAUUGUGCUAAAUAGUAGCUCAGUCAGAGUGAGAUACUAAAAGAAAAGUAUUGUGAUGUUUUUAUUUAUCUCAUUCUGAUGGCACCCAAUUCACUGCAGAGUAUCAACUCCAAAUCUGUUCCAGUAAAGAAAAAAACUCUGAUGGUGGGCUGAUGGUGACGACACGUUCGAGCUGCAUUCGGUGAAGCAGAUUCGGGUCCUGGAGCAGAGGCAGGCCCAGCUGAGAGGGCGGACAGCCGCGCUGGAAACCUCCCGGGCUGACACUCACAAGUCCAGGGCCCGGUGCACCCAGGACGCGAUCUGCCCAGAUGUCCUUCACUCCGGCGCUGGGACACCACGGACCCUGGGUGCAUCUGCAGUAGAGGACGCGAGCCAGGCCCCGGGCGACGACCUCUCCCCCUCCGGUCUUCGAGAUCUCCA